Molecule: ribosomal RNA, 491 nt
Filed under: uncultured bacterium
Lineage: Bacteria
Description: bacterial SSU rRNA
Rfam family: Bacterial small subunit ribosomal RNA
Source: RNAcentral
UCAGUUGUGAAAGUUUGCGGCUCAACCGUAAAAUUGCAGUUGAUACUGGCAGUCUUGAGUGCAGUAGAGGUGGGCGGAAUUCGUGGUGUAGCGGUGAAAUGCUUAGAUAUCACGAAGAACUCCGAUUGCGAAGGCAGCUCACUGGAGUGUAACUGACGCUGAUGCUCGAAAGUGUGGGUAUCAAACAGGAUUAGAUACCCUGGUAGUCCACACAGUAAACGAUGAAUACUCGCUGUUUGCGAUAUACAGUAAGCGGCCAAGCGAAAGCAUUAAGUAUUCCACCUGGGGAGUACGCCGGCAACGGUGAAACUCAAAGGAAUUGACGGGGGCCCGCACAAGCGGAGGAACAUGUGGUUUAAUUCGAUGAUACGCGAGGAACCUUACCCGGGCUUAAAUUGCAAAUGAAUUAUGGGGAAACCCAUACGCCGCAAGGCAUUUGUGAAGGUGCUGCAUGGUUGUCGUCAGCUCGUGCCGUGAGGUGUCGGCUUAAG